GGUAGAUUUUCUGCAACACCUGAGAAUUGAACUGUAACGUAACCAGGUGUAAGUAUAAUGAAAGGAAGGACAAAACAUCAGCUACAGCCCUAACUUCCUUAUGUACGCAUACACGUAAUUGGGUCUUGCAUCACUGUAAUGCAGCUUUUUCCCAGUUUAAUCAUGGUGAAACCGUCAGUCAGGCCCCAGUUUUGAUGACCAGACAUACGUAUUUCAGGCUACAUCCGUUUCCAGCCCCGUUUAAACAGUCCAUGGUAGUGGAAGAAAGGCGUUAACAUGAGUUUACUUAAAACCCCACUGGAGCCAACUUGGCUGCAGACUGGCAGUGCAAGAGCCUGCUGUAUGGCAGAGUGCUGAGCUCAUCCCUUAAUAUAAAUUGGUAUGUUUCGUUUUAAAACAACGCUCUUUAAGCAAUGCAUGAAAAGGUACCGACUGGCUUCAGGAAGCAAAGUACAGCUCAACUUAGCCCAACGAGAAGUCAGUGCGAUGGGGGUACGUUAUGGGUACGAAAAGGAUGUCCCAGUUUUAAAAGCCUUUACUCGGGGCAUUCUGCUUCAUUUACAGAUUAAGUAGGUAACAAAUAUAUUGCUGUUCUAUACAUCUGUCGUGUCUCUAGAAGCCCUUUAAAGUAUUCUUGCAGCAGGGUCCAAAAUCCGCUCUUGCCUCCAUAUAGAACAAGCACUAUAGAAAGGAUCGUUAAAAGAUACAAAUGCCCAAAUAAUAAACUGUAAAACUAGAAAACUGCACGUCCCGCCUUGCCAAGGGUAUGAUGCAUCAGAUACAAAGGUUUUCACUUUCCCUCAGGAAAAGUCAAUUCACGCUUAGUGUUCGCUGAAAACCAGUUUUUGCACCAACCAUUGUUUGAACGGUUUGAUUCUACAAAGCAAGUCAUCGGAAUCACAAGUCUGAAAUACUUCUUUCCAGUAUGUUUGAGCCUUACGGUCAGCAUGAUUAACGUUUCAAAGCUCUGAGUCUAACCUGCCCGCUCACUGCUACCCUUCUUCCAUUCCUCUUGGGCCACAAGCACAAAGCCUGCACGCGUCUACGACACCGCCAGCCUCCCGUUUGCUCCACCAGGUAAGAAAUGUCAGUUUCACACAGCUCCUCUCAGCACUAUGAGCUACAACGCAUUUAUCAGGCCUUACACAACCUUACUCUCUUUAAGAGACAGCUACAUUAUUUCAAUGUACACCACUACACAAAAAGGAUCAGGAGCUCAGUGCAGCCUGAACAUUCAAGUAAUUUAGCCACUAAACUGUUAAGGGCAACGAGGGUGGGAAGCUCAUUGAGAGAUGUGCUUGAUUCAGAAACCCCCUCCCAAGUAAGUGCAAAGAACUUUUAAGUACCAGAAAAGGCUACACAUUUUCAUCGUCCUUACAACAGCAACCCAACCUAGACGGUACAUACACACGAACUAAAGUUAAGGGAAGCGCGUAAUUAUUUCACGCGUUACCUUGCAAAAGAAAGUGUUGGUCCUAGUUGCUCUCAGAAAAGCCAAAAUAUGGAGAUAUAUAUAUAUAUCCACCCAUACAUAUGUAUAUAUGUUUGUUUUUUUAAAGGAAAAGCCUAAAUGGCUGAAGCUCCACAUGGGAGCUUUGCUCGUGGCAUGUUACCAUAACCAUCUGAAGUACCAUCCCUCCCAUGUAACCUAACUGGGGAGGCACUCCGCCAGCUGGUACAGCAUCCAGGUUGAGAGUGCAAGAUCCUCCACGUACGCUUCAGAUGUACUCGAAUGGACACGUUCAGUUACAACAGUAUAUGCUUACAUACAGUGCAUACACAGCUAUUCAAACCCCUCUGUGAUGGAGGCUUGUGUCUUCUACACUUCAGGCAGUUAUGUUUUUUUUCACAGCUCUUUUGAUAAUCCGCAGAGAUGCGUCCAGACAACACUGGAUUUCUCUAGGCAGCAUAAUCAUAUAUGUUAGGGACACACCGCAGCUAAGGGGGAAAGAACGAGACCAAUUUCUGUGCAACAGGAUACCCAACUGCAAAACCCCACUCCACCGCGUUGCUGUACGUCUUCUCACGCGUUUGAGUUUACCACAUUCACAGUCUACAGAUUCAGUGCCAGGAACAGGACUUGUCGAGACAGUCUUUUCGGAACGAUUUGCUGCGUGUGAUUCAACGCUGGGCUGGAUUCCUCCUUCUGUGUCAGUGGGACUUUCCAGCUCCUCGUGGGAAUUGAGCGUACAGGACUGCAACACCUGCACGGCUAGAUCCACAUCUGCUUCUCUGAGAGAAACUUGCUCCUUAAGGACCUCCACCUUCUCAUUCAGCUCGUUCCUUUCUGUCUGAAGGGCCCUGCAUAGCUUCUCCAAACGCUCCAGUUUUAUCUGAAAGCCCUUGUAUUCUUUA
This 2355-nucleotide long non-coding RNA is filed under the name Gallus gallus (chicken). RNAcentral's name for it is "long non-coding RNA NONGGAT001049". The record is from RNAcentral. Lineage: Eukaryota; Metazoa; Chordata; Aves; Galliformes; Phasianidae.